This 1661-nucleotide long non-coding RNA is filed under the name Homo sapiens (human). RNAcentral describes it as "HSALNT0024913". Lineage: Eukaryota; Metazoa; Chordata; Mammalia; Primates; Hominidae. The record is from RNAcentral.
GCCCGGCCACAGUGGGUUUUAUUUAACAGUUAACUGGCUCAUGCUUUAGGGGAGGCAGAAUAGUUGAAAGAACCAGCUAGGAAUCAGAAGACUUGGUCUGUAAUUAUGACUUGCCUGAAACUCUAAGUGACCUUUGGAAAGCCACGAAACCUUUACUGUCUUUUUUCUUACAGGACAAUCAUGAGAGAUUGAUCUCUAAGUCUGAAAUUGGCACUCCAGUGUUUUCUGAAUGAAAACACACAGUAAAUUCUUUGAUUCGGGAGUAAAAACUACUCCAAAACUCCACAAGAGGGCAGCUCCUCCACACCUGAAUGGCCUCAGAGACCUUCCAGGCACCUUUGAGGUUGUUUUCUGAGACUUUGAAAACACAACUUCUGCAACUAAUUUUUUCAAUCUGCAUAUAAUUUGAACAUCAUUAAUAUCUAUUAUUCAAAGAAUGCUGCAUUGAAUAUUUCAGUACUGUACUUUCAAAAAAGUGAAGAGCCUCACAAGACUUCAUGGGAUAAGACACAAACACCUGCAAAGCUGACUCAUGAAAGGAGACAAGGCACUACUAUGACAGUGGAUUGUGGGAGCUGUGAGUUCAGAAAGACCCCUGUGUGAGGAGCACACGUGUGACCUUCUGGAGCGUCUGGGCACUCCUCUCUGCUACAGAACUACAAAUGCUGUUUGGAGACCAGGAGCAGGGAUAUCCACGGAAUCUGAAAGUGCUUCUCUCCUUCCGUCCUCUCAACCUUCCAUCACUGCACUGCUGUGGCUAAAAGGAGACCAAAAGACUGACACCAGGUGGCAAAGGGAAUCUAAGAGAUGCAGCAGGCAGUGCCCCAGCCCUCUCAGUAAUUAGCAGUGCACAGAAGGGAGCAGAGGAAAAAAGCAGUAUAAUAAGAGAGGGAAGGAUCAGCUUCCAAAUGCUUGAACACCUAUGUUUCCAAGCCACGUAUUGAGGAAUUCAUCUCUUGGCCUCUCCACUCCAACCUGAAUCUCUCUGAUUGCUGUAUUCAGCUGUCCCAGCUGGAGAAACCACACUGAACUCUUCAAGGGCAAAAGCCAAGGUUUGACUUUGCUCCCUCUGAUCCCUGCUAGUGUACCUAGCAGCGUGCUGAGCACAUAACAACUGCCCACAGGAUGAGAUGGUAAACUGGAGAACUUGCUUGGCAAUCACAAGAAAACAGGGCAGUGGUGGUGAGAUCUGGGAUGCGUGCUUUCAAGGUGAUGGCAUCAUGGAGGGAAACCACCUUUUUCCUGUGCUUGCUUCCUUGCAUUUGUCACCCCUUCCUUUUUCCCUCCACAUCCCCACAAGUCACACAGUGAGGAACCAGAAACACAGCAACUUUUGGCUUUUGGCACAGCGAGGCUGGGGUCCCCAGCUUCUCUCGGUCUCACUGAGUGUUGGACUUACAACAACGGUCCUGACAUCAAGAUAUUCUGCGGGAAAUCGGGUGAGAGGGUGGGAGGGGAGGGAGGAAUCACAAAUAAAGAUUUGGUUUUGUCCAUUAAGAGUUGAAAAGAAAGUUGUUCAUAGCCUCGGGCUUGCUUGUUGAUUUCAUGUGGCCAAGUGUCCCACUGGGGGAGUUUGCAGGCACAUGGACUUGAUUUUUUGCGGGGUCAUAGUUUCUUAACCUUCCUCCAGUUCAUUCCCUGCCUGCGUUCUCUUCUCUCAC